Molecule: ribosomal RNA, 2331 nt
Filed under: Escherichia coli
Lineage: Bacteria; Pseudomonadati; Pseudomonadota; Gammaproteobacteria; Enterobacterales; Enterobacteriaceae
Description: bacterial LSU rRNA
Rfam family: Bacterial large subunit ribosomal RNA
Source: RNAcentral
CUUAUAUUCUGUAGCAAGGUUAACCGAAUAGGGGAGCCGAAGGGAAACCGAGUCUUAACUGGGCGUUAAGUUGCAGGGUAUAGACCCGAAACCCGGUGAUCUAGCCAUGGGCAGGUUGAAGGUUGGGUAACACUAACUGGAGGACCGAACCGACUAAUGUUGAAAAAUUAGCGGAUGACUUGUGGCUGGGGGUGAAAGGCCAAUCAAACCGGGAGAUAGCUGGUUCUCCCCGAAAGCUAUUUAGGUAGCGCCUCGUGAAUUCAUCUCCGGGGGUAGAGCACUGUUUCGGCAAGGGGGUCAUCCCGACUUACCAACCCGAUGCAAACUGCGAAUACCGGAGAAUGUUAUCACGGGAGACACACGGCGGGUGCUAACGUCCGUCGUGAAGAGGGAAACAACCCAGACCGCCAGCUAAGGUCCCAAAGUCAUGGUUAAGUGGGAAACGAUGUGGGAAGGCCCAGACAGCCAGGAUGUUGGCUUAGAAGCAGCCAUCAUUUAAAGAAAGCGUAAUAGCUCACUGGUCGAGUCGGCCUGCGCGGAAGAUGUAACGGGGCUAAACCAUGCACCGAAGCUGCGGCAGCGACACUAUGUGUUGUUGGGUAGGGGAGCGUUCUGUAAGCCUGUGAAGGUGGCCUGUGAGGGUUGCUGGAGGUAUCAGAAGUGCGAAUGCUGACAUAAGUAACGAUAAAGCGGGUGAAAAGCCCGCUCGCCGGAAGACCAAGGGUUCCUGUCCAACGUUAAUCGGGGCAGGGUGAGUCGACCCCUAAGGCGAGGCCGAAAGGCGUAGUCGAUGGGAAACAGGUUAAUAUUCCUGUACUUGGUGUUACUGCGAAGGGGGGACGGAGAAGGCUAUGUUGGCCGGGCGACGGUUGUCCCGGUUUAAGCGUGUAGGCUGGUUUUCCAGGCAAAUCCGGAAAACCAAGGCUGAGGCGUGAUGACGAGGCACUACGGUGCUGAAGCGACAAAUGCCCUGCUUCCAGGAAAAGCCUCUAAGCAUCAGGUAACAUCAAAUCGUACCCCAAACCGACACAGGUGGUCAGGUAGAGAAUACCAAGGCGCUUGAGAGAACUCGGGUGAAGGAACUAGGCAAAAUGGUGCCGUAACUUCGGGAGAAGGCACGCUGAUAUGUAGGUGAAGCGACUUGCUCGUGGAGCUGAAAUCAGUCGAAGAUACCAGCUGGCUGCAACUGUUUAUUAAAAACACAGCACUGUGCAAACACGAAAGUGGACGUAUACGGUGUGACGCCUGCCCGGUGCCGGAAGGUUAAUUGAUGGGGUUAGCGGUAACGCGAAGCUCUUGAUCGAAGCCCCGGUAAACGGCGGCCGUAACUAUAACGGUCCUAAGGUAGCGAAAUUCCUUGUCGGGUAAGUUCCGACCUGCACGAAUGGCGUAAUGAUGGCCAGGCUGUCUCCACCCGAGACUCAGUGAAAUUGAACUCGCUGUGAAGAUGCAGUGUACCCGCGGCAAGACGGAAAGACCCCGUGAACCUUUACUAUAGCUUGACACUGAACAUUGAGCCUUGAUGUGUAGGAUAGGUGGGAGGCUUUGAAGUGUGGACGCCAGUCUGCAUGGAGCCGACCUUGAAAUACCACCCUUUAAUGUUUGAUGUUCUAACGUUGGCCCGUAAUCCGGGUUGCGGACAGUGUCUGGUGGGUAGUUUGACUGGGGCGGUCUCCUCCUAAAGAGUAACGGAGGAGCACGAAGGUUGGCUAAUCCUGGUCGGACAUCAGGAGGUUAGUGCAAUGGCAUAAGCCAGCUUGACUGCGAGCGUGACGGCGCGAGCAGGUGCGAAAGCAGGUCAUAGUGAUCCGGUGGUUCUGAAUGGAAGGGCCAUCGCUCAACGGAUAAAAGGUACUCCGGGGAUAACAGGCUGAUACCGCCCAAGAGUUCAUAUCGACGGCGGUGUUUGGCACCUCGAUGUCGGCUCAUCACAUCCUGGGGCUGAAGUAGGUCCCAAGGGUAUGGCUGUUCGCCAUUUAAAGUGGUACGCGAGCUGGGUUUAGAACGUCGUGAGACAGUUCGGUCCCUAUCUGCCGUGGGCGCUGGAGAACUGAGGGGGGCUGCUCCUAGUACGAGAGGACCGGAGUGGACGCAUCACUGGUGUUCGGGUUGUCAUGCCAAUGGCACUGCCCGGUAGCUAAAUGCGGAAGAGAUAAGUGCUGAAAGCAUCUAAGCACGAAACUUGCCCCGAGAUGAGUUCUCCCUGACUCCUUGAGAGUCCUGAAGGAACGUUGAAGACGACGACGUUGAUAGGCCGGGUGUGUAAGCGCAGCGAUGCGUUGAGCUAACCGGUACUAAUGAACCGUGAGGCUUAACCUUACAACGCCGAAG